UAGGCUGAUUCUAAGCUGCCUGAUGCUCAGGCGGCUCACGAAAAAACAAUCACAACAUUACUGCCACAACUAGGAGGAGCAAACACACUAUACGGAGCAG
The sequence is a regulatory RNA element, 100 nucleotides long. It matches the Rfam family "Pyrrolysine insertion sequence mttB". The record is from Rfam.